RNAcentral lists this ribosomal RNA (528 nucleotides) under uncultured bacterium. RNAcentral describes it as "bacterial SSU rRNA". It matches the Rfam family "Bacterial small subunit ribosomal RNA", at positions 47 to 565 of the family's 1533-position model. The record is from RNAcentral.
CCUAACACAUGCAAGUCGAACGGUAACAGGAAGAAGCUUGCUUCUUUGCUGACGAGUGGCGGACGGGUGAGUAAUGUCUGGGAAACUGCCUGAUGGAGGGGGAUAACUACUGGAAACGGUAGCUAAUACCGCAUAACGUCGCAAAACCAAAGAGGGGGACCUUCGGGCCUCUUGCCAUCGGAUGUGCCCAGAUGGGAUUAGCUAGUAGGUGGGGUAACGGCUCACCUAGGCGACGAUCCCUAGCUGGUCUGAGAGGAUGACCAGCCACACUGGAACUGAGACACGGUCCAGACUCCUACGGGAGGCAGCAGUGGGGAAUAUUGCACAAUGGGCGCAAGCCUGAUGCAGCCAUGCCGCGUGUAUGAAGAAGGCCUUCGGGUUGUAAAGACUUUCAGCGGGGAGGAAGGGAGUAAAGUUAAUACCUUUGCUCAUUGACGUUACCCGCAGAAGAAGCACCGGCUAACUCCGUGCCAGCAGCCGCGGUAAUACGGAGGGUGCAAGCGUUAAUCGGAAUUACUGGGCGUAAAG